RNAcentral lists this ribosomal RNA (624 nucleotides) under Rhizopus arrhizus. Its description in RNAcentral is "Rhizopus oryzae partial large subunit ribosomal RNA". It matches the Rfam family "Eukaryotic large subunit ribosomal RNA", at positions 83 to 640 of the family's 3401-position model. Lineage: Eukaryota; Fungi; Mucoromycota; Mucoromycetes; Mucorales; Rhizopodaceae. The record is from RNAcentral.
GUAACGGCGAGUGAGAGGAAGAGCUCAAAGUUGGAACCUGUUUGGCCUAGCUAAANNNNNNNNNNNNNNNAGAAGUGUUUUCCAGGCAAGCCGAGUAAAUAAGUCCUUUGGAACAGGGCAUCAUAGAGGGUGAGAAUCCCGUCUUUGGCUUGAGCAUUUGCCUUUUGUGAUACGCUUUCAAAGAGUCAGGUUGUUUGGGAAUGCAGCCUAAAUUGGGUGGUAAAUCUCACCUAAAGCUAAAUAUUGGCGAGAAACCGAUAGCGAACAAGUACCGUGAGGGAAAGAUGAAAAGAACUUUGAAAAGAGAGUUAAACAGUAUGUGAAAUUGUUAAAAGGGAACCGUUUGGAGCCAGACUGGCUUGUCUGUAAUCAAUCUAGGCUUCGGCCUGGAUGCACUUGCAGGCUAUGCCUGCCAACGACAAUUUGACUUGAGGGAAAAAACUAGGGGAAAUGUGGCCCACUUGUGGGUGUUAUAGUCCCUUAGAAAAUACCUUGGGUUGGAUUGAGGAACGCAGCGAAUGCUUAUUGGCGAGUUUUCCAGGAAGGUUUUCUGAGGUACUACGGUAUCAAGGUUGAUCUUUUUGGUUAUACUUCUAUUCGCUUAGGUUGUUGGCUUAAUGACUC